AGUGAACGCUGGCGGUAGGCCUAACACAUGCAAGUCGAACGGCAGCACAGUAAGAGCUUGCUCUUACGGGUGGCGAGUGGCGGACGGGUGAGGAAUACAUCUGAAUCUACUUUUUCGUGGGGGAUAACGUAGGGAAACUUACGCUAAUACCGCAUACGACCUACGGGUGAAAGCAGGGGAUCUUCGGACCUUGCGCGAUUGAAUGAGCCGAUGUCGGAUUAGCUAGUUGGCGGGGUAAAGGCCCACCAAGGCGACGAUCCAUAGCUGGUCUGAGAGGAUGAUCAGCCACACUGGAACUGAGACACGGUCCAGACUCCUACGGGAGGCAGCAGUGGGGAAUAUUGGACAAUGGGCGCAAGCCUGAUCCAGCCAUACCGCGUGGGUGAAGAAGGCCUUCGGGUUGUAAAGCCCUUUUGUUGGGAAAGAAAAGCAGCAGGUUAAUACCCCGCUGUUCUGACGGUACCCAAAGAAUAAGCACCGGCUAACUUCGUG
RNAcentral lists this ribosomal RNA (492 nucleotides) under uncultured bacterium. RNAcentral's name for it is "partial 16S ribosomal RNA". It matches the Rfam family "Bacterial small subunit ribosomal RNA", at positions 29 to 507 of the family's 1533-position model. The record is from RNAcentral.